UCUUACCCAACUGUUCACAUCUGUUGGCCCCCAGAUGGCAUGAGGAUGCCUGAGUCUAGUGAGCUCCCUAGAGAACAAUUUCCCUUUUCUCAGGAAUGUAUCUAUCCCUCACAAAACAAGGUGACAUAAUAAAGCAGCACACUGGGAAAGACUAAGCUAACAGGAACUAAACUACAACAGAGCAAUGCAGUUAUGCAGCUAACUCCUAACAGAACAUCUACUCACACAGAAGGCAAAGGGGGAACUUGACAAAAUCGAUCACAAGCCCAUGGCAGUUAUUCUUCAAAAAGAUAACUAUGGAGUGAUUUAAAGGAAACUCAGUCCACUAUUUUCCUCCAUUUCAUUCUUCACGAUCCUGUUGAAAACCAAGCCAAUUCAAAUUCAGAGGAGUGCAGGCAUUAUACAAUAAAGCACUGUUUUGUUUUUUUCAGCAUGUAUCAGCUGAAGGAGAUCCUGUUCCAUUUUGGCAACGGAUGCUUGCUCAACACCCCCAACUACCCCCAACUACCCCCAACCUCAAACAGACAGAGCGGCCUACGUGCCUAAGAGGACGCUGGCAGUGGAGGCCAGUGCAGAAGAAGACUGUGAAACUAAUAAACACCCUCACCUGCCCACCAACCACUCCUUUCAUUGUCCCCAUCUCCUGUCGCGCCGGGUUUUUGCUCCCUGGAGAACAAUAAUCCGGGGCUGUCUUUUUGGAACAAGAUGAGGGGGAAAUUGGGACCGACCCAGAAAUAGCUAAAUUAUCUGACAAGUCUACUAGGCAACUAAAUCAGUCUGGCUUACAUGGGGUCUUACAAGACAGGCGUGACUUGGAGGCUUAUGAUGACAAUAUAGACCCUUUCAACAAUAAAAACAAAAACAAUGCUUGAACGUUC
Alosa alosa (allis shad) is the source of this 878-nucleotide long non-coding RNA. RefSeq lists it as uncharacterized. The record is from RefSeq and is a predicted model, not a curated record. The transcript is spliced from 2 exons. Lineage: Eukaryota; Metazoa; Chordata; Actinopteri; Clupeiformes; Clupeidae.